UAAUACGAAGGGGGCUAGCGUUGUUCGGAAUCACUGGGCGUAAAGCGCACGUAGGCGGAUGUGCCAGUCAGGGGUGAAAUCCCGGAGCUCAACUCCGGAACUGCCUCUGAUACAGCACGUCUUGAGUUCGAGAGAGGUGGGUGGAAUUCCUAGUGUAGAGGUGAAAUUCGUAGAUAUUAGGAAGAACACCGGUGGCGAAGGCGGCCCACUGGCUCGAUACUGACGCUGAGGUGCGAAAGCGUGGGGAGCAAACAGG
Molecule: ribosomal RNA, 256 nt
Filed under: uncultured bacterium
Lineage: Bacteria
Description: partial 16S ribosomal RNA
Rfam family: Bacterial small subunit ribosomal RNA
Source: RNAcentral